Non-coding RNA from Zootermopsis nevadensis, 492 nucleotides. NCBI's taxonomy places the organism in Eukaryota, Metazoa, Arthropoda, Insecta, Blattodea, Termopsidae. The record is from RefSeq and is a predicted model, not a curated record.
GGUGUAGUAAAAAAAUUAUCGCAAGGAUUCUAGGAGUACGCUCUCUAGAUGUUUAUGUUCAAUAUAAUUUAUAUGGAAACAUCCGCGUAACUGUAAAGUUUGAUAAUCUGAAGUUUCUUAAGAAAAUUCAAAAUAAUGCAAGCAAAAUUCAGUGCGCUCGGUGGUUUAUAACAAGAGGAAGCAAACGGUGGGCAGCGGCACAUCCGCGCAGCGCUGGAGUUCAUCAUCGCCCAACGAAUAGAAAAUUUUAUAUAAAUAUCGGCACUAAUGCGGUGGUUUAGUAAGAAUGUAUGUAUGUAUGUUUGUGUUUAUUAAUGUUGCUGAUGUUUCCACACUUGCUUUUAGUCUCUGUCCAUUCUGUGUCCUUCAACUUCACUGUCUGUGCCAUUAAAUCCAUAAUUCCCUUUAUCCAUCUGAUUCUCUGCCAUUUCUUUGACUUUCCUACUCCAUAUUGUUUUGUAUCAGUAUCAUACAAAAUGAAAGUUUUGUUUU